This 720-nucleotide long non-coding RNA is filed under the name Olea europaea subsp. europaea. The record is from RNAcentral. Lineage: Eukaryota; Viridiplantae; Streptophyta; Magnoliopsida; Lamiales; Oleaceae.
CUAGGGCUAAACAUAUAUCGAGAGAGAGCCAUACAAACCGAGUCAGAAAAAAGCCCAUUUCAGAGAGAGAGAUGAUACCAGUACCGGUGGGAGAAGAAGUCGGCCCGAAACUCGCUCGACUUCUGUACUUCGUCGGCGCCGGAUGUAUGUAUUUAACAUUCUGAACGAAUUUCUUCAAUUUUUAUUUUGGUGGUCUUAAAUCAUAUGUAUCCGCUCGGAAAAAUCAUGCCCUUUUUUAUUGCAGUUUUGUGCACUGCUGCGAUUAACAAGUGGAGAGAUUGGGAAAGAAAGUCUACGAUUCAAAAGCAACAACAGUUUAAUGGUCAAACACUGAAAAAUCAAUCAAAUGGGGUACAAAAAGCUAUUGAAUAAAAACGAUCCCCCCCCCAUCCCACUUUUUUCUCUUUUUGAUGAGGGGGUUCUUGAUUUUCAAUAGGCCGUUGCUGUUAAAUAAACAAUUUGAUGAUUAUUCAGGUGGACAAAUUUUUCAAUGUAGUAAGUGGAUUUAGACUGUACAUGGUUUCUUCUUGUUUCUGAUGUAUGGACCAAAUUGUUUAGGAUUUCGUGAUUACAAAAGAAAAAAAAAUGGUUUGUUACUAUUGUGUUAUAGUUUAUGGAUUGCAUAAAACCUGUAAGAGAAACCUUUUGGUAUAGAAGAUAAUGUGAUCUAUUCACUGUGGAUAUGGUGAACUUCAUUACUACAUUUUUUUUAGCAAUGCA